UACGUAGGUCCCGAGCGUUGUCCGGAUUUAUUGGGCGUAAAGCGAGCGCAGGUGGUUUAUUAAGUCUGGUGUAAAAGGCAGUGGCUCAACCAUUGUAUGCAUUGGAAACUCGUAGACUUGAGUGCAGGAGAGGAGAGUGGAAUUCCAUGUGUAGCGGUGAAAUGCGUAGAUAUAUGGAGGAACACCGGUGGCGAAAGCGGCUCUCUGGCCUGUAACUGACACUGAGGCUUGAAAGCGUGGGGAGCAAACAGG
This 252-nucleotide ribosomal RNA is filed under the name uncultured bacterium. RNAcentral describes it as "partial 16S ribosomal RNA". It matches the Rfam family "Bacterial small subunit ribosomal RNA", at positions 524 to 776 of the family's 1533-position model. The record is from RNAcentral.